This 255-nucleotide ribosomal RNA is filed under the name uncultured bacterium. RNAcentral describes it as "partial 16S ribosomal RNA". It matches the Rfam family "Bacterial small subunit ribosomal RNA", at positions 524 to 776 of the family's 1533-position model. The record is from RNAcentral.
UACGUAGGGGGGCAAGCGUUUGUCCGGAUUUAUUGGGCGUAAAGAGCUCGUAGGCGGUCUGUCGCGUCUGCUGUGAAAACUCAGGGCUUAACCCUGAGCUUGCAGUGGGUACGGGCAGACUAGAGUGCGGUAGGGGAGACUGGAAUUCCUGGUGUAGCGGUGAAAUGCGCAGAUAUCAGGAGGAACACCGGUGGCGAAGGCGGGUCUCUGGGCCGUAACUGACGCUGAGGAGCGAAAGCAUGGGGAGCGAACAGG